GAGUUUGAUCGUGGCUCAGAUUGAACGCUGGCGGCAUGCCUUACACAUGCAAGUCGAACGGCAGCACGGGAGCUUGCUCCUGGUGGCGAGUGGCGAACGGGUGAGUAAUGCAUCGGAACGUAUCCUGGAGUGGGGGAUAACGUAGCGAAAGUUACGCUAAUACCGCAUAUUCUGUGAGCAGGAAAGCGGGGGACCUUCGGGCCUCGCGCUCUUGGAGCGGCCGAUGUCGGAUUAGCUAGUUGGUGAGGUAAAGGCUCACCAAGGCGACGAUCCGUAGCAGGUCUGAGAGGAUGAUCUGCCACACUGGAACUGAGACACGGUCCAGACUCCUACGGGAGGCAGCAGUGGGGAAUAUUGGACAAUGGGCGAAAGCCUGAUCCAGCCAUGCCGCGUGUGUGAAGAAGGUCUUCGGAUUGUAAAGCACUUUAAGUUGGGAGGAAGGGCAGUAAGUUAAUAACCUUGCUGUUUUGACGUUACCGACAGAAUAAAGCACCGGCUAACU
Molecule: ribosomal RNA, 502 nt
Filed under: bacterium enrichment culture clone ALO1_GLFRUDD03HKELO
Lineage: Bacteria
Description: bacterial SSU rRNA
Rfam family: Bacterial small subunit ribosomal RNA
Source: RNAcentral